RNAcentral lists this ribosomal RNA (203 nucleotides) under Trebouxia jamesii. RNAcentral describes it as "5.8S ribosomal RNA". The stretch from base 50 to 203 matches the Rfam family "5.8S ribosomal RNA". From Rfam's summary of the family: 5.8S ribosomal RNA (5.8S rRNA) is a component of the large subunit of the eukaryotic ribosome. The record is from RNAcentral. Lineage: Eukaryota; Viridiplantae; Chlorophyta; Trebouxiophyceae; Trebouxiales; Trebouxiaceae.
ACAGUUCUACUGGCUGGCUUUGCUGGCUGUAGGCUGAUUAAUUACAGACAACUCUCAACAACGGAUAUCUUGGCUCCCGUAACGAUGAAGAACGCAGCGAAAUGCGAUACGUAGUGUGAAUUGCAGAAUUCCGUGAACCAUCGAAUCUUUGAACGCAAAUUGCGCUCGAGGCUUCGGCCAAGAGCAUGUCUGCCUCAGCGUCG